AUUGAACGCUGGCGGCAUGCCUUACACAUGCAAGUCGAACGGCAGCACGGGUGCUUGCACCUGGUGGCGAGUGGCGAACGGGUGAGUAAUACAUCGGAACGUACCUUAUCGGGGGGGAUAACGCAGCGAAAGCUGUGCUAAUACCGCAUACGCCCUGAGGGGGAAAGCGGGGGAUCGAAAGACCUCGCGCGAUUAGAGCGGCCGAUGCCUGAUUAGCUUGUUGGUGGGGUAAAAGCCCACCAAGGCGGCGAUCAGUAGCUGGUCUGAGAGGACGAUCAGCCACACUGGGACUGAGACACGGCCCAGACUCCUACGGGAGGCAGCAGUGGGGAAUUUUGGACAAUGGGGGCAACCCUGAUCCAGCAAUGCCGCGUGAGUGAAGAAGGCCUUCGGGUUGUAAAGCUCUUUUGUCAGGGAAGAAACACCGGCUCUAACACAGUCCGGGAAUGACGGUACCUGAAGAAUAAGCACCGGCUAACUACGUGCCAGCAGCCGCGGUA
This 500-nucleotide ribosomal RNA is filed under the name uncultured bacterium. RNAcentral's name for it is "partial 16S ribosomal RNA". It matches the Rfam family "Bacterial small subunit ribosomal RNA", at positions 29 to 522 of the family's 1533-position model. The record is from RNAcentral.